This 229-nucleotide ribosomal RNA is filed under the name uncultured bacterium. RNAcentral describes it as "partial 16S ribosomal RNA". It matches the Rfam family "Bacterial small subunit ribosomal RNA", at positions 568 to 796 of the family's 1533-position model. The record is from RNAcentral.
UGCGUAGGCGGCUAAAUAAGUCAGGAGUGAAAGUUUUCGGCUUAACCGGAGAAUUGCUUUUGAUACUGUAUAGCUAGAAUCGAGUUGAGGUAGGCGGAAUGUGGCAAGUAGCGGUGAAAUGCAUAGAUAUGCCAUAGAACACCAAUUGCGAAGGCAGCUUACUAGACUUAGAUUGACGCUGAGGCACGAAAGCGUGGGUAGCGAACAGGAUUAGAUACCCUGGUAGUCC